This is a long non-coding RNA of Mus musculus (house mouse), 975 nucleotides long. RefSeq annotates it as predicted gene, 32422. The transcript is spliced from 2 exons. The record is from RefSeq and is a predicted model, not a curated record. NCBI's taxonomy places the organism in Eukaryota, Metazoa, Chordata, Mammalia, Rodentia, Muridae.
GCGCCACUCUGGUUGGGAGACAGCAUCGGUGACAGCUCCGUUGUGGAGUUGUCUUUGGGACACAGGAAGAGAAAUCUUUGAGUAAUAUUUAAGCUGCGAUCUCCCACAUGAUGAGGGGGGAAGGCAAUCCCAGUCAAUGCAGCGCCAAAUGCAGAGGCUCUAAAGUGCCUUGUUAGAAAAGUAGCAAUGGCCCCACCUACAACGAAGGAACACGUGCUAUUUUAGAGGUCUAGGUGCAGAGUCAGGUUUGGUUUGUUUUUUGUUUGUUUUUCUCAGGGAAGGGAGGGUCCUUCCUGAGGGCACUGGGGAGCUAUGAAGAAUCGCGAGAAAGAGCAGGCCCAGAUGAGCUCUGCCACAGAGGCUGGUGUAGGUGUCCCCAUUCGGGGACGCAGCACCUAAGGAGGGCUGCGGUGGAGACUAGCUUGGUUAGCCCGUAGCACGCUCCCUACGACACCUGGGGCGACUGCCGGGUACCUGCAGCCUCGCCGGGGCCAGGAGGCGCGCGCGCGCGGAGCAUCAGGCCAGCCCUGCCUGCCAGAUUUCUCCGAGGCCCAAACCCGUUUCCUUCCUCGCGCUCAGUUUCUUCUCGCCCCGGCGGGGCCCGCCCCAGUCCGGGUUCCCUGAAAGCCCUGCGACGUCAGAGCCUUCUGUUUAUUUGUGUUUCUCAUUCCGAGGGCAAAGGACUCUGAGGCGGGACCCUGCGGUGACAGCAGCGACGACCCCGGGGUUCUGCGCCCCUGGGGACCUGACUCCACCCAGCAGGGCUAGGGGGUUGGGGGGUGGGGAGGACGCCGGUUCCCACGGCUGGCGGGGACUGCCGGAAGCAGUCUGUCCACUUCCAGGGGCCGGGCCACCCGCCCUUCCUUCCUGCUGAGGGCAGCGGCACCCCAGGUCCACCUGCAAGGACCCAGGUGGCCAGGUCAGAAGUACAACCAAGCCUAAUCUAGCAGGUUCUAUAAAUCAACAAGGUCAGGG